AUAUUCAUCAGAAUGGUUUCAAAGAAGGAAAAACUAAAGAAAAGGACUAAAACGGAAGGAAAGCCUUAUUUGUAUUUGAUUUGAUUCUCUCGACUUUCCCUUUGUUAUUGUAUUUAGGUAGGCGGGGAAAUGUUUUUCAUUUUUAAUCUCUUUACUUUAUUAAAUAAAUUU
Molecule: non-coding RNA, 171 nt
Filed under: uncultured Ochromonas
Lineage: Eukaryota; Chrysophyceae; Chromulinales; Chromulinaceae
Source: RNAcentral